This 753-nucleotide ribosomal RNA is filed under the name Aestuariibacter sp. Its description in RNAcentral is "partial 23S ribosomal RNA". It matches the Rfam family "Bacterial large subunit ribosomal RNA", at positions 1 to 804 of the family's 2925-position model. Lineage: Bacteria; Pseudomonadati; Pseudomonadota; Gammaproteobacteria; Alteromonadales; Alteromonadaceae. The record is from RNAcentral.
GUUAUAUGGUCAAGUGACUAAGCGCAUACGGUGGAUGCCUUGGCAGUUAGAGGCGAUGAAGGACGUAGUAGCCUGCGAUAAGCUUCGGGGAGGUGGCAAACAACCUUUGAUCCGGAGAUCUCCGAAUGGGGCAACCCAUCCAGCUUGCUGGAUAUCGUGCACUGAAUACAUAGGUGUACGAGGCGAACGAGGGGAACUGAAACAUCUAAGUACCCUUAGGAACAGAAAUCAAUUGAGAUUCCGUCAGUAGCGGCGAGCGAAAGCGGAUUAGCCCUUAAGUCUUUAUCGUGUUAGUGGAACACUCUGGAAAGUGUGGCCAUAGUGGGUGAUAGCCCCGUACACGAAAGCGCGAUAGAGAUGAAAACGAGUAGGUCGGGACACGUGUUAUCCUGAUUGAAGAUGGGGGGACCAUCCUCCAAGGCUAAAUACUCCUAACUGACCGAUAGUGAACCAGUACCGUGAGGGAAAGGCGAAAAGAACCCCGGAGAGGGGAGUGAAAUAGAUCCUGAAACCGUAUGCGUACAAGCAGUGGGAGCCCUUAGGGGUGACUGCGUACCUUUUGUAUAAUGGGUCAGCGACUUACAUUCAGGAGCAAGGUUAACCGUUUAGGGGAGCCGUAGGGAAACCGAGUCUUAAUAGGGCGUUCAGUUGCUGGGUGUAGACCCGAAACCCGGCGAGCUACCCAUGGGCAGGUUGAAGGUGCCGUAACAGGCACUGGAGGACCGAACCGUAAUCUGUUGAAAAAGAUUCGGA